Small nucleolar RNA from Heterocephalus glaber (naked mole-rat), 121 nucleotides. NCBI's taxonomy places the organism in Eukaryota, Metazoa, Chordata, Mammalia, Rodentia, Bathyergidae. The record is from Ensembl.
UGGUCAUUAUUAUGGCUUUUAGAAUCAAGUUUCUCGUUUGCUGUGGACAUGACCAUAAAAACAUUUCUCACUAGGUUUUCUGUCUGUUACCUUGCUAGCAAUCAACCUGUUGGGAACAUUG